This is a non-coding RNA of Salvelinus sp. IW2-2015, 3731 nucleotides long. The record is from RefSeq and is a predicted model, not a curated record. NCBI's taxonomy places the organism in Eukaryota, Metazoa, Chordata, Actinopteri, Salmoniformes, Salmonidae.
AUUUAAUGCAUUUUAUAAUAAGGCUGUAACCUAACAAAUUGUGGAUACUUUCCAAAUGCACUGUAUGUGUAUGUCAUUGGAGUCCACACUGGCACAUAUUCACACACAUACACACACACACACUCUUAGUAUGGGGGGGGGUAAGCUUGCCAUGUCUAUGCAGAGUGUUUGUGUGUUUUAUCACAAGCCGAAGGAGUUUCCACACACACUCACACACACUUGCUCUUGUUGACGGAGGAAAUUCAUGGCGUGUAGUUUUUGUGCAGAAGAAUCCUUAAAAAGAGGAAGAGAGUCGUCAAACACUUAUCUGUUCACUCGGCCACUCAAUCUACUUAGUGUGCAGCAAUAGUUCUGUGUAUGUUUCCGAAUACGUCUUUCACAUUAUUUUGCAUGUUGAAGAUUAUUAAUCAUAUGCUAGAACCCUAAGAAAGGCACAUGUAUAUUCUUAUUAUUACACUGAUAUACUUGACCAUGCCAACUGAAUAGCCUUACUCUUCCUGUACAUACAGAACAUAGAGGGAAAGGGAAUACCUAGUCAGUUGCACAACUGAAUGCAUUCAACCAAAAUGUGUCUUCCGCAUUUGACCCAACCCCUCUGAAUCAGAGAGGUGCGGGCUGACUUCAUCAACAUCAUUGACCUUUCAGUUACUGAUCUAACACUCUUAAUCACUAGGCUUCCUGUUGCCCCCUAGAUAGGCCUAAUGCAAUAGUCUUCCUGUGACAAUUAGCUAGAUAGAUUUAGAUAUACUAGAUUUGCCAUUUUGGUCAAAGACAGAGAGGGAUGCAUGUAUGACUAUGCAUUUCAAGAUUCCCGUGUGUUUUAAAUCUACAGUACUUUCAAACAACUUUUUAUAAUUUAUAUUGCCAACUGGCAGGUGUCCCAAAUCUAGAACAUGAACCCUUCCCUGCUGCUCCCCUCUUUCUUUUGAUGGUGAACUCUUGAACUCUAGAACCCUAGAACCAAGACUCUCCUCUCCCAGCCCUGAAUCAGUCAAGUAUCAAAUUAAUUAGAUGGAAGAAAUUAAGCUACCAGACCUUACAAGCUACUUGUAACCAACAAUCUUUCAUAUAAUUAGUUUUGACCCAAUCAAAGCCUUUUGAAAGUAGAAGGCUCUCAUUGGCUAACAUGACUCAUCCUGCCCUUUGGUCUUGGUCAAUGAGAGUCAGAUUCAGAGAUGUAUUUCCAUAUCACCUAUACAUGAUUGCAUCCUCUUCUCAUAUUAUGUCAAUACUCAACCAUAUUUUAUGUGUUUUGUUAUUAUUCUUCCCAAAUGCUCAUUCAUAAAUACAGUAUAAGCAGGACUCAUUGUGGAAUAUGACAGAGUUUGGAGACCAAUUUGGCUGGAGAGUUCUCUGGUUGUAGUCCCUAGUUUAUGAUGAGUAAACAGACCAAAACGAUUCCCCUCACCUCCCAGUCCCCAUACUGUGUAACUCAUUCAAUAAAAUAAUUUCUAUAAAAUAUCAUGCAUUUUCAUAACUGUGUCCUAGAUAUAUGAUAUGAUAUCAUAUUGGUGGCAGCGUUGGGAUACAGGCUACAGUUAGUCUGGGUACCAGUCUGUUUAGCUAACAUUCCACUCUGUAUUCCGUGUCAUAUGCCAAAGUUUAGCAGAAAGUUUAGCUAAACAGACUUCUAUGUGCACGGGUAAGCCUCGAGCAAGGAGCGAACAACCACUGUAGACACAGAUCUCAGUUAUUUAACGUUAGUUAUUACAGACAGAUCUGGCAUUUCUCCAUCUGGAAAUUACUAUUUACAACACAACUGCAAUUAUUUUAUUUUAUAUUUGUCCAAGAUAGCUAGCUGCAAAGCUAGCAAGCGAGUUAAUUUAAGAUGCCUCUAGAUCCAGUUCGCCAGCAGAGCAGCACUCGCCAAAAAAGACAGUAAACCAAAAGCUGCCACCAUUGCAGUGGGUGCCGGAUAGACAAUGGUGGUCCUUCAUUCUCGAAUGUGAAGCCGACUGACCCUAGCAGGAAGGACCAGAGAAAAGUGUUUGCUUAAGGUAAUUGGGCCUCUAUUUUAGGAGAGGAAUGACAUGCAUGACCUUCUGUCUCUCCUCUCUACUGAGACCGAUCUGGCCGCAGCAGCGCAGGCCCAGCUCUAACAGUGGUCUUCCCAACCGGCUGUCUUGUUCUGCUCCCCUUUGGCAACAGCUACCGCCACAACAAAAGAGGAUUGCUCUGAAGAGUACCUGCUGGAUACAGAGCACACCUCUGCCAGCCACACCACCACUGCCCUUGACAGCUUCUCCACUGGGCCCAUCAAGAGAUGAGGUCGCGUCUUCAUCUUGUACCACGACCGAUGGACAGAGCCCAUUAGAGCUGCCAGUGAUGGGCUACUGGCCAAUCACCACGGGGAAGAAGAUAUCCUGAAGCGGGUGAAUCUGCUCUGCUCUUAACACCACCCCAGAGAAGCUCCUAGAGACACACAGCUGUGGCAUUAUGUUACUGUAGAGAGUGAAACAGUCAGUGUCCCAGUCAUGUCCUCAGUCAUGUCCCCUGCCUCCUGCACUUACCCAGCAGAAGGCCUCACCUACUCAACGUUUACAUUUGAGGAUUUAGCUUCCGCUGCCUCCUUUCAAUGGGAACUGGAGGCCUCGAAGCAGAGGGGGCAGUGAGGAAGGAGCGAACAGAGGAAAGAGAUGAGCAUCCCUCCGGCCGUCUGUACAGGUUCUGCCAGCAGCCGCUGAAACAAAUCUCCAACAGCCCAUAUCAGCUUUUCUUGAGUGGUAGGAAAAUAUCUACUGCCUAGUGUUUCCCCUGUACAUUGUACAGGGCAUUGGAGGGAGCUCCAACAGUCUGCCUUUUAUGAGACUGAAAAGAAGAGAUGGAUGGUGGAGAAGGGUAGUGACUCUAUACACACGUACACACAGAAAUAAAUAGGAGUUGCAAAUCUAUUGUCAUGGAAAUUACCACCAGGGAUUCAAAGUCAAACUUAAAUGAAUAAUGAUUUAUUUUCAGUUAACUGGAGAGGUUUCAACAAACUUAAUGCACCAUAGUACACGUCGGUCAGGAGCUCUGUCUCUCAAUUGUUCGCGGAUGAUGUGUCUCCUUUUGGGCAGCUCACAGUAAGGGUCUGGGCGGGUCCUCGUUGUCUUUUGGUCUGAUGGAAAUUUCCUUCAUGCUUCAUGAAAUGUGCCACCAGUUUUCCUCGCAGACCCUCACUGGAAAGCUCCGCAGGCAGAAUCAAUCAUCCGGUUCUUGAUGCCAAAUUGUCUUGGAAAUUACCACCAGGGACUCAAAGUCAAACUUAAACGAAUCAUUAUUUAUUGUCAGUUAACUGGAGAAGUUCCAACAAACUUAAUGCACCAUAGUACACGUUGGUCGGGAGCUCUCCGGGGCAGUCCCGUUAGUUCUCUUAUAUACUGCUUACACAGACAAGUUAUAUUUGCAUGAUUUACAUUAUACAUUAUUCCUGAUUAAUUCAUUUGGUUAUUGCUUAAACUAUCAAAGGAGGUUCUAUCAAAAUACGUCAUUAUAAGUAAGCGAAAUGAACACAUAAAACCAGACACUUCAUCCUUUCAAAUCCUUCAUUCUGGGUUGUGCAAUCCAACUUGUAAAACCAUUGCAGUAGAAUGUUUUAUGCUUCACUACAGGACACUAUUUCCAUUGGUGGAAGUGGUUUGGACUCUCGUUUGAUUUGUAUCUAUUUCACUGUCCAUUAUUUUACAUUUAAUCAGUAAGGCCAGAGGAGGUGUGGUAUAUGGCCAAUAUACCACGGUUAAGGGCUGUUCUUA